Lolium rigidum is the source of this 555-nucleotide long non-coding RNA. RefSeq lists it as uncharacterized. The transcript has 2 exons. The record is from RefSeq and is a predicted model, not a curated record. NCBI's taxonomy places the organism in Eukaryota, Viridiplantae, Streptophyta, Magnoliopsida, Poales, Poaceae.
GAUAGCGUACACGGUGUUUAAUGAUAACAGUUCCUUGUCGAAAGCCAUGGAGCUGAACGGAUCUGACCUUGGUGGCUUCAGCUUGUUUGUCGACGAAGCGAAGCCUAGACCAGACCAGAUAACAGCUAUUAGUAACAACAGAGGAAGAUCUGGCAGGGCCCGUAGUAAUGAUAGAGGAGGAAGCUGAGGAUCUAAGAGGGGUCGUAGUGACGGGCGUGUACGCGGUAGCUGAGAUGACAGGGGCGGCCAUAGUGACAGAGGCCACUGUGGUCAGAGUGGUGCACCUCACAGGCAGAGUGCUCUUACAGCUAGUACAGGGAGGAAGAUAAUUUUUUGGUGAUGACUGGGCCAGUGCGUGAUCUAGAAUCUAGAAGCUUUAAAACACCAAAUCCUGCGACUAGUGAAAUGGGAACAAUUCUUUUGGUGCCUCGAGACUUGUUACCGAUCUUGUUAGUUACUCUUACUGUAGACCGUGUUGGUGCAUCUGCCAAAAAACAAAAUCGUCUGUUUUUGGAGAUUUAUACAUGCAUGAUAAAUUUACUGUUUUGGAGAUUA